UUUUCCUUUUAAGGACUGUCCACUUUUUCUCUUUUCUUUUUACUUAUAAAAGGUGGGUCCUACCACUUCUUUGACUGGGUUACUAAAAAGGCCAAAUAUUACAGAAACUCUUUCUUCUUUCUUUUUUGCCGUAUUUCCUUAUUUCCUUUUCUCUCUUUCUAAAACGAGAACCACCAUUAGAGACAAGUGAAGCUCCGAAGGUAUGAAGAUAAAAUCUCCAUUACAGAGAUGAGAAGAUUCGGUUCGCAUCGCACUUGGUUCGGUCUUCUUCUCCAUUCUUUUACAAUUAGAACUUUGCCCUUUCAUUGACUUUCCCCAAUAUUUUUUCCGUUUUGCAAGGAAAAAUCUCCAUUAUUGAGGUGAGAAGCUUCGGUUUGUGUCACACUUGGUUCAUUCUUCUUCUCCACUCUUUUACGUUUAGAACUUUUGCCAUUUCAUUAACUUUUCCCAACUUCUUUUAGUUUCUAAAGGAAGAAUCUCUGUUACGGAAGUGCAAACUCCACUUCACACAACAAAAUAAAAGUGCGCUGCGAGAUGCUCCGAUUUGCGCAAAACAGAGGUGCUUUGUGGGACUUCACUCGGGUUCACGCAAAAUAGAGGUUUGCGGCACUUCGCUCCAGAUCGUGCAAAAUAGAGGUGCAUUUCGGCCCUACCGUAUUUUGCCUUCGCAAAAGUCUCAUUUCGUAAAUGAGUCACACUUUGCUCCUAAUCGAUCUUAUGUAGACUUUUGCCGAUCCUAUAAAUUGUUGUAUGUGAAUCAUGACACAUUGCUUUGGCACCACCAAUCCGAAUCCCAUCAAUCGACUAAAACUUAGUGGAGCGGGGCAUGGAUGGAGCGGUAUUAGAAGGUCAGCUUAUGCAAGUGAGCUCCUCUUAACAAUUAUGAGGAACCCCAACAAUGCCGGCCAACUGUUUGCACAAAGGUCUACGCGUGAAUUGGCUUAGCAAUUGUGAUUGUUUUCACAAAUUGUGGUUGUUUUCACAUACAAUCUUGCAAUGGAAGAAAGGAAAAAAAAAAAAAUUAACACCCUUGAACUCAGGUUGUAGUCGCACUGCUUUGUAUGUUUCUUUCUUUUUUUCCGUCUGUCAUAAGUGUUGCUGGAUGAUUGAAAAGCUUAGAUUGAGAUUGAGAUUGAAAUUUCAAUAUAGAAGAUAACAGUGCUACAACGAGCUGCAGAUAAGAUUUUUCUUUUCAAAGCUUGCAAAUUAGUGGUUAUGGUAGAUAAACUAAAAGAUUGUUGUUGCUAGAUAGUUUUUGAAAGAUUUCCGGAUAAUUCCCGUUCGAUAAUUUCUUUUGCUUGGACUGCAUCUAUUUUUUAUUAUCGUGACUAUAAGUUUAACUACCACAUUAUGAAGCAGAGAGAUGCGGAGGUUUAGCAAUCCACCUUCAUUGCGAAGUAGAAAGGUGUGAAGGUUAAGCAUGGUUGACCACGGUUAGGCAUUCCAGCACGACCAGUCAAGUGCUCUAAUUCUUCAGUCAUAAGAGGUUCUCUCUCUUAUGUGGAUGCUUUCAAAUUUUCUAGGCAAAUUUCUUGUAAUUGGUGAUGACUGAUGAUGGUGGUAGAUUUUUCAUAACUUAUAUUUUAACACAUACACGGCAGAUUAUUCCUAAUCCAUGUAGAUAGCUCUGCUUGUUCUCGGCAUAAAUGGCUAUGACCUCAUCUAUUUUUAUAACUAAACUUGUUUUCACUUUA
Molecule: long non-coding RNA, 1694 nt
Organism: Syzygium oleosum
Lineage: Eukaryota; Viridiplantae; Streptophyta; Magnoliopsida; Myrtales; Myrtaceae
Exons: 2
Source: RefSeq, a predicted model, not a curated record